RNAcentral lists this ribosomal RNA (504 nucleotides) under uncultured Glomus. RNAcentral's name for it is "SSU rRNA". It matches the Rfam family "Eukaryotic small subunit ribosomal RNA", at positions 569 to 1077 of the family's 1831-position model. Lineage: Eukaryota; Fungi; Glomeromycota; Glomeromycetes; Glomerales; Glomeraceae. The record is from RNAcentral.
AGCAGCCGCGGUAAUUCCAGCUCCAAUAGCGUAUAUUAAAGUUGUUGCAGUUAAAAAGCUCGUAGUUGAAUUUCGGGGUCAGCAGGUUGGUCGUGCCACUGGUAUGUACUGGCUUUGCUGAUUCCUCCUUCUUGUAGAACCGUAAUGCCAUUAAUUUGGUGUUGCGGGGAAACAGGACUGUUACUUUGAAAAAAUUAGAGUGUUUAAAGCAGGCUAACGCUUGAAUACAUUAGCAUGGAAUAAUGAAAUAGGACGAGCGAUCCUAUUUUGUUGGUUUCUAGGAUUGACGUAAUGAUUAAUAGGGAUAGUUGGGGGCAUUAGUAUUCAAUUGUCAGAGGUGAAAUUCUUGGAUUUAUUGAAGACUGACUACUGCGAAAGCAUUUGCCAAGGAUGUUUUCAUUAAUCAAGAACGAAAGUUUGGGGAUCGAAGACGAUCAGAUACCGUCGUAGUCUUAACCAUAAACUAUGCCGACUAGGGAUCGGAUGAUGUUAAUUUUAUAAUGA